RNAcentral lists this unclassified non-coding RNA (3518 nucleotides) under Hevea brasiliensis (rubber tree). Lineage: Eukaryota; Viridiplantae; Streptophyta; Magnoliopsida; Malpighiales; Euphorbiaceae. The record is from RNAcentral.
CUGGGGAAGGAGAUGGAGAACUCCCAACUUGAAAUUCUAUUUAAGUCGAGAAAUAUCUACCAUCCGAGUUAAGCCUGGCAGGACCAUAAGAGAGACAAUUUAGUCAUCAUCAUGAAAAGCAAACUAAUAAAAAGAGCGGUACAUGUCAUUUUAUUUCAGCAAGUUCCUCCUUAUCUUUCUUUACUAUUUCCUUUUUCCCGAGCAGCUGAGGGUUGGAGCAAAGAACUAAAAGCAUAUAGCCAUAUGUCAUAAACCAUUAUUCCAUUCAAGUUCUACAAAUUUCACGAGAGAUGUUAUAUAUUUUUUUAUUUCACAAUGUAAUAAUAUGUAUAUUCACCUGUAUAUGAUAAGGACCAACAAGCUAUUUCACAAAUUCACAAUUAUCUGUUUCUUCGUCAAGGUUGGGGAUGUGAUACCUCAAGCAGAACCUCCCUUGCAAAGAAACUGCCAUAUACAUCAGUUACUCCAAGAUGUUAUGGUCAAGUGGCACCUUGUUACAUGCUUUUGGCAAUGUCCCCCUCUAAGCUUUCAUCUGACUAAUGUGAUACUCGAUUAUCCCUGCAGCCACAUAUGCUGCGUGUGUGCAAAUGGUUGGGUGACUGAACAAGGCAUUCCAGCUCUUUUCUAGUAUGAUUAGGGAAGCAUUGCAAAAUUUUUAACCAGUGACAGAACAUAGAGAAGACCAAUAUCAUCCAUGUCCUUUUUCCAUGCAUUAAACCUGAGAGAAAUUGACCAUGUCAGUGUUAUUGUGGAAGCCAUCCGAAAUAUCCCCUGUUCUGGAGUCUGCGACCUCAUUCACAGCACCUUCCUUGGAAGUUGCUUUAAAACUGACCCUUCCACGAACUCGCCUAGAAGGCAUUGAUAUCGAGUUACUUUCAGGUAUGCCUGCACCUUUUCUUUUUUUCUUUGUGUUGAAAAAUCCUAAUUCUAAAGCUUCCAAUGCCUUUGUGGUCAAUGGCCGGUUCCUUGUACUCUGCCUCCGGUUAUUUACUAGAGGUUGCUGCCUUGGAUCAACUCCAUUGUCACAGAUCUUAAAAGACUCAGGUUGCUGGCCUGUUCCAGACAGAAAGGAUGAACUGUCAUUGUUUUGCUCAACAUCUGUCAUAAUAUGUUCUUCAGCUGCAAAAUCCGGUGAUACAUGAGGGAAGUUCAAGUCAAUCAACUUAAGGGAUUGAGGUUUUUCUGGAGAUGCUUCUCUACCUAGGAAAUUCUCACCAACAAUUCCUUCAUUGCUCUCAGUUGGCCUGUCUUUAGCCAAAGAACUGGGAAACGGCAAAAUUUGAGGUGGGCCCACCUGGAAAAUCCUGUCCUCACAUGCAUCAGGCGAGUUGGACAUGUAGUGGGUCUCAUCUUUAUUUAACUUCCUGUCUGCAAACAUAUUUUUAGUGCUCCAGUUCGAUUGCCCAGGGUCACAAGCAAUAGUAUCCUGCUGCUUCGUAAUAGGAACCAAAUAUUUUGAGCAACCAGACUUUACCUUCCUGCUGAAUUGAUACUUCAGAGUCUUCCUUUCCUCAUUGUCAUUAAUUAGACUUAUUUCCACAGCUGCAGUACUGGGAUCAGGAUUGCUAUGAGUGCCACUAUUUAGAAGACCGCUUGUACAAUAUGAUGAGUCAACACAAAUUCUCUUCUCAGUCACAUCAUCAGCUGGAUUUGAGGUGUUAAUUUCUUCUGAUUCCUCUUGUGAGUCUUCUGAUGUAUCUUCUUCAGUUUCACUAGAAAGACUAGAGAAGGUAGACACACUAAUAGUUUCAAUAGGUAAACUUAUGAGCUCUCUCACCUUAGGUUGUUCUGCUCCAUGAGCCAAACUGGUAUCAACAACUGUAAAUUUCUGUACAUGCCGAUUAUAAUUUGGAGUACGAGGCUGGAGGUAACAACGGCGUUGCUUGCUUGACACAUCAUCUUGGUCCUCUUUUAAGGAUGGGUCCCAUCCACAUUCUUCCUUAUGUUGGCUGGCAUUGGCUGUUUCAGUUUCAAGGUCAAGUAGUCCUGGUUCUGAUGCAACUUUAUUUAAGACGUCACUAACAGAAUCAAAAUAGUGGUUACCUUUCACAAGUCUUCUCCUUGAAAAUUUUUUAACACCGGGAAUGAGAAAUACCAAAGAAUGCUUAGAACCAGAAAAGCCAUUAUCCUUAGGCUGCUCAGAGUGCCAUCCUUUUGUUAAAAGUCUAGGCCAAACAGCUUCCCAGAAGAGAUCACUGGAUCGGGCUUUACUUAACCUAAAAUUUCCUGUCAGAAACUUGAUAAUGUCUGCAGAUGUAAGAGAGGAGCAGGCCUUGCCGAUUGGUAUUUCAGGACGAACAGAAAUUGUAUGAUUGGGCUUUAUUGGCUCCAUGGCUGUGCCAGUGAGAUCAUGCUUCCCUUUGCCAAUGCCCACUGCUUCUAUAAGCAUAUUGAUGCCAACUGCACCUUUUAGAGUGAAAACAUAUUCUGCAAAUGAAAUCUUCCCUUCUGUAAAUGCCCUAGAUACCUCGAGCAACACACCCUGACAUUUUUGUGAAACGUGAGAAAAUAAUCGUGAUAAUAGUUCCUGUUGCCUCCACCCUGUAAAUAUCUUUCGUCCAUGGAUACUUUGUCUGCUUCUUAGCUUUCGGCACUCUGACCACCUGUAAUAUCCAUCAGACCUGUAAAACUUUCCAUAAUAGAAAGACAGUAUAUCCCCCAUCUUUUUACUACUGACAAACUUCUUCACAGCAACAAGAUUCUUCCCAAAUAUGUAUAAACCAAGAAGAAAACUAUCAUGCUCAACAUCUGUCCAUGAUUCACCCAACAAGCCAGGCAGAGGACAGAAACCUCUUUCUAAUAGAUCCAUUUUGAUUGCAGAUUCUGGCAGAAGGACUGAGUCGACUUCCAUCUUAUCACUUCCAGCUGCCUGUUGAAUAUUUGAAUGAAUUCCUAUAUUUUUCCCAUAGCCUGAUAUAGUAUCCAAUGGCUCAACUUUAUGUUCUGGAGAUUCAUUGUUGGUAGUAAUUUGGCUCUCCUCACUGUUUUCAAAUUCUACUGUCCCAUUAAUGCUUUCAACUCCAGCAUGUGACCACAUAAGCAGGAGGGGUAAUCCCAGUAGAAAAGGCUGGUGAAUAUUGAGCAUGAAAUCUGAAUUUCUUGAUGUAUUUAUAAGCUGUAAAAGAUCACAUUCUGCAAUUAGAGGAGGAAUUUCUGCUUGAUAUUCAUCUCCUAUAAAAGGAAGCACCUGUGGAUCUCCAAAAAUAUCUCCCAUUUCACAAGGAGAUGGAGAAAAUGGUUGCUCAGCAUAUUCAUCCUGAGUAUCUUCCAUGUCACCAUGCAGACAAACAGAAUCAAUCUCCAUGGAAGAACUUGAACGUUAAAACCCACGAAGAAGAGAUAACCUAGGCAAAUGGGUUUUUGGGUUAUGCAACAAUUAACCUCGAUUGUCAACUUCUUCUUCUUCUUGAAGGAGAAAGCAGAGAUGUCAUGGACACGAAGGUUUAAGUGUUGCGGUGAGGCAAGGUAAUACAGGAAUAUAGAGACCAAAAAGAAAAUUCUUUCGCCUCUGUUUUUAU